CCGAGCUGAUGGGGCUGAGGCGCCACGAGGGCAAGGGAAGAGCGGAGGAGGCCCCGAGGCGAGGGCUGCGGGGAGGCCGAAGCGCCCUGCCCUCUGCGGGGCAGACGACGAGGCUGGGCCUAGCCGAGUGGGCCGCCAUGGCGACACGCCAGCUCCUCAGCUUGGGCGAGUCACUGUGAAGGGAACCUGCAAGGCCACUGAAAUAGCCCCUUUCCCUGUGGGAUUUUGCUGUUGGGGGGGGAAUGGGAUUAUGGCUCGAGGGUCAUUUUUCCUCUCGAAGGUGACUAGGCUGCCCCCCUUCUCCAGAGGAUGUGCCCAUGGGCAAACCACUAAACGUUAGGCCGCGCUUUUGUAACCACUGCCCCGGGAGUAAAUGCCAUUGAACUCAAUGGGGUUUGUAUCUGAGUAGUCGGGGAUAGGACUGCGCUUUAAGGAUUCCCGCUUCCAUCCAGAGGGAUUAAAAUAACAGAAUUACUGCCUUCAGAGCUGGCACUUGGCGUUGGGGAAUUGUUAUCAUCAUCAUCAUUUAUUAAAUUUGUAUUCCGCCCCUUCAUCCAAAGAUCACAGGGCAGGUCGCAAUUUCAAAAUACAAAAUAACACAAAAUGUGUAACGAACCAACACACACACACACACCCCUACCUCCCACAAACACCUUUAAAAGACUUUAGAAUAUUUCUUUCAGCCAAAGGCCCAGGUUAUACAGAAACGUUUUUUGCCUGGUGCCUCAAUAUAUGUUAUAAUCCCACUAUUUUGUUGUUGCUCAAGUGUGUUUGAUGAGGAACGAGGCAUCUCUGGAAGGAGGUGUUGAGUUAUGGGAUUAGGGGUUUAGGCCGCAACCUUUGGGCGCAUGCACCCACAAAUCCCAUUGUGUUCUGUCGGUUUGUUUUUUUAAACGUCUUAGUAGUUGUGCCAAGGACUGUUCACUACACAGGGCCUCAGCGGAUCUCAGCAAAGCCUUGCGACAUGGCAGUGGGUAUGGCGCUUAACAGCAUCCUAGAUAAGUUUUGAAACGGCUUGGUAUUUGAUUGUUAUGGUAAUGAUGCAUUGAUUCUCAUUUUAGUUGUUCUUUCGUAAGCAUAUUUACAUGGAAAAGUGGCUUACUAAUUUUAAUAAUAAUAAUAAUAUUCCUUGCUUCAAGGAAUAUUAUUAGUUUUAGAUUUUAUGAUUUAUGUGUUUUCCAUUUGGUUGUGUACUUUUUGAUGUGUUUUAUUUAUUGCUUAAGACUUUUGUUAUGUUGGUAACUAUGUAAAUCUUGUCAUGUUGUAAGCCACCUUGAGCAUUGCUUUAACUAUGAAAAGGGGGCAUACAAAUAAGAUGAUGAUGAUGAUGAUGUUUACAAUUUAAAAUAAUUGAGGAGGGCAUGUAGACACUUUAAAAAGCAUUUUAUAUGGGAGGGGUCAUAAUCCUUUCCUGAAAUUUUGUAGGGAAUAAUAGAGAAAACUAUGGCAACGGGAUGAUCAUGUGUAUGUACUCUUUAAUCAGUACAGUGGUACCUCAGGUUACAUACGCUUCAGGUUACAGACGCUUCAGAUUACAGAGUCCGCUAACCCAGAAAUAGUACCUUGGGUUAAGAACUUUGCUUCAGGAUGAGAACAGAAAUCGUGCUUUGGCGGCGCAGUGGCAGCGGGAGGCCCCAUUAGCUAAAGUGGUGCUUCACAUUAAGAACAAUUUCAGGUUAAGAACGGACCUCCAGAAAGAAUUAAGUUCUUAACCUGAGGUACCACUGUAUUUUAGUGUGCGAUUGUGUUUUCAUGUUCCUCUUUCAUUCCUUUUGGAACUAAGGCAGUGUAUACAUGUUUAAUGUAAAGUAAGCAAAUGAAAUGUCCUUUCAUACACAUCCUUGCUAAACCCUGGGACAUAAAAGGUGGCACAUUAAUUCAUCUCUGCCGUUGAAUUGGGGAGGAAUCGCCCCCUCCCCAGUAAAAGUGGACAGGUGUGUGCUUGCAUACACCUAACUCUUCUCCCACCCAUCCCUUUUCAAGACUGGUGGUUUCCAGCAGUGCCCUCAUUGCAGCAUCUCUCCUCCUCCAAUGACUUUUGUUGGGAAAUGCCCUCCCUUAACCUUUCUCCCAAAUCCUCCUUUUCCCCAAAUGGUAUCAGGAAGAGAAAAGCCAAAAGGAUCAGGUGUGUGUGUGUGUGUGUGUGUGUGUGUGGCUGUAGCUCACGCAACCAGCCUUAAAAAAAAAAAAAAAGCGAACUCCCAAUAGCCCUCCUUCCUCCUCCCACAAGAAUCCCUCCUCCCUCUCUUCUUUCUCAUUCAAACGCAGCAACUCCUGUUGUGUCAGUUUUUAUCUUCUUCCUACCACCACCAACAGCCACCGCUAGGCAGAGGAAGAUCAGCAGCAGGUAAAAGAAACCUCCCUCCCCCCCCCUCAAAAAAAGCACCCCAUUUUAAAGGUCUCGUCGUUAUGCUAUAUUUCUUCCUCUUUCUUUCCACCCCUCCCACCCACCAAAAGGGAGGAAGAUAAAUAGAUGAGGAAGGGGAAGAUUAGCCUCGCUUCCUCUAAACUUCUUGCUGUGUGUGAUUUCUGCCUCGUCUCUUUUGGCUUGCAGCCUCUCUCUCUCUCUCUCCCUUCCUUCUUUCUCUGCCAUCCAAGUAGAGGUUUGAAACUUCCAUUAGAGACAUAGGUAUUUGUUUUCAAUACUCGAUAUGUCGAUCUUAAGGAGGAGGAGGUGGGGGGAAGAGGAAGGAUCUUCUUUGUGAGUCAGGGAUGUUCCUGGAGGAAAGGUUUGCAAUAUGUUUUGCUCAUGGUUUGGGGAGGGGGUGCGCGGGUGGAGGGGGGGCUUCAGAUUUGCUAAUGAAAAGUUUAUUGAUCCGUUUUUGUCAGUUUCAUUUUGAAUGCUGCUUCUGCGGAAUCUAAUCUGCCCCGGGGCGUUGCAGAGUUAUUUCUCCCCCACCUCAAAUUGUGUGUGUGUAUACAGUAUAUAUAUGUGUGUGUGUGUGUGUGUGUGUGUGUGUACACAAUUUUUUUAAAAAAAGGGGGAGUGGAAAAGGAAGAGCUGUGGCUCUUCAACAACAAUAGACUUUGCUAGGAGAGGAGGAGAAUACAAAUUCAUUAAAGUGUAUUUGGUGAUGUGAACUGACUUCCGUAUACUGAUACCUUACCUAUAUAUGGGGAGACAUUAAUUAUUGGCUAAUCGGCUUCACUUUGGGUGUGUUAGGAUUUCUGCAGUUGAAAUAAACAAAAACCUAUUCGCCAAAAGCAGUCAUUCGACAUGCAGUCCCGUGUGCCCACCCCUCCUCUCCCCCAUUAUAAUAUAUGCUGUGUGUGAAUCGCCUUGUGAGUAUCAGAAUCGAAGUGUUAAAAAGAGUUUCUGAAGUGGUGGCCAGCAAAAUUUCUGUCUUGGGUUUCUAGCUUGAAGGGCUUUUGGAUGUUCGAAUAACUUCGGCAUUGUGGUUCAGAUGGAGUGUUUGCAAAGGAAAACAAAACGAAAAGGUUCCUUGUGGUUAUUUUUUUGUCCUUCCUAAAAUGACCUUGAAAGCUAAAAUAUACACAUCGCUUCUGAUGGGUGGAAAGGGUGGGGGGGCUUAGGGGCGAGUAGAAGAAAGAAUCUAGCGUAUAGCCAAAAGCAGAAAUAGGAACUUAAUCAUGUAGAUGAAGUGAAAUCUUUUACAGAAGAAUGUGAAAAGGGAAGUUUCUGCAUGUGAAGGGAACAGAAGGAAAUAACACACUUACAAAUAUGUCGUGGGGGGGGAGAGAAGAGUCAUAUCAUUCUUCACAAUGUAUUAGGCCUUGAGAAGCUUGCCUGAUAUGAUCAGGAAGGCAGAGAAAUAAAACGCCUAACUACACACUGAAUAGCAGGCAUUGACUUGCUGACCACUUCUGUUGGCAGCUAGGGGCUGGUUUUUGUGUCUGCAAAGGUAUCUGAGCACAGUGCUCUUAUAACAAUGGCUUGCAAAUGUUUUCUCUCGCCAUGUUUUGUUACACUUCAGGGGGUCUUCUGUAGAUUUGGGACUUGAGAUGCCUUUUUUUUAAAAAAAAAUGUUAUGACUUCAUGAUUAGUUGUUUUCUGGAUCAUCAUGAAAGGAUUGGCUCACAUAAGUAGGUUAAACUGCUUUCUUUGGAGGUGGGGGAGGGAAAGUAGGUGGAGUUUGAUCCUCUCUUCUCUCCCCCCCCCCCGCCCACUAGUUUUAUGUGAAUUGAUGAGUCAGUAUUUAAGAUGUGCAAUAGGCAUGCCAGCUUGUGAUGGGACAUCAGUUACUUCUUUUUAUUAAGAACUCCCACUUGAGAGAAUACUAAAAUGUAUAUGUUGCAUGGUUAAUAAAUCUGGGGGUGGGGGAAAGAGAGAGAGGAGAAUUCCCUUGCUUUUCUUGAAGUGAUGCUACUGUUGAGGCUUUAUUCAGAUAAUCAUCAUGCAUAACAAACAGCUGUAGCUGAGAAAAUAUUUCAGUGGACUAUUGAUUGAUCUGACAUACCAAGUUAUAUUCCCUUCUGCAAAGUUUGAGUCGUUGAUUUCAGUUUCAUUGUGGUUAUGUGUGCAUGCAUUGGAUUUCUUUUUGUUUUUUGGAGAGAAAGAAGAGUGUUAGCCUGUUUGGAAAAACUUAGCAUGUACAUAUAGCUAUUUGAUAAUAGUGGGUUUUUUUAAAUAUAAAAUAAAAAUGUAUAAGGUUGAUUCAAUUAUGUCUUCAUCGCUUUGGAGCUGCUUGAAUGACUUGACAUGAGAUUAGGUGCAACAAAAGAGAAGGCAGGGGAACAACAGCUGCCUUCCAGUUCUGAGGCACUAUUGCUCUUAGCAGGAAGGCAUUUUAUCUUUUAGUGCUGUGUUGUCAGGUUUAAAUGUUAAAUAUUUAUAUUCCUGUGAAAGGUUGUUAGACUACACUUGUGUGUUAAAAAAAAAGCACACACAAACCAUGCAUUUACUAGAGCCUUAAAAAAAAAGAUGGCUUAUAUUUCUGCCUUUACCACAGCUGUUUAAGAUCUGAUGUUAAAAUACCAAAUCAUCCCAACUUUUAGCUCAGCUUAUUUUUUGGCUCUGAAAAGAGCCACCACUAGUUUGUACUUGCUUGGCUGCUGUGUGGUAAGAACUUUUUAAGGUGUGGCUUUAAUGGCAGCUGACGAUUCUUGCUGAGAAACAAGUCUUAUUUUUGGUACGUGUCUCUAUGGAAAUUCUAUGUGAGGCAAAAUUGCAACAUUAAAUGUCCCCUUUAAAGGGGGAAAAAAGAUUUUAUAUUGUCCACUGAAUAGCUCUUCCUUAAAGGAAAUAAAGACCAGUGCUGAAAACUUCCUCCCAAGUUACAUAUACAGCAUACAUAUUUUAAAGUAUGGGUGUCUUUUCUAUAAAGUUUCAACAUAAAUAACUUUUUCAUGACCUAUAGAUGUUGGGGUUUUCUGGUUGAUGUUGUUGUUCCAAAACACAGCAUAUCUUAUAAUGGUAACCCAUUUUAGAGUAGAUGGGAAGCCAUUUCCUGGAUUUGUUUUAAUUAAGCAGUGUUAUUUAUAAAUUUGUGGUUCUUUAAAAGUGCCAUAGUGAAGGGAAGCUAUAUUUAUAGGGGUUUUAAGAGGAUUGCUACUGACUCCUUCAACAGAAAUUGCAUUAGAUUCCAGAUGGAGAGCUAUUGGGUAGCUUGGAAUAUCUCCUUUGUUUUGGUGGAGACUGGCAAGGCGAGGGGGUGGCGAUAUGACUGGAAAAAAGGUACUCUGCACUAUUCUUUCACAUUUGUUUCAUUUAGGGCUUCUUUGAAAAACUCUCUGCCUCUCAAACACUUAGCUGCAUUACUUAAGAGUGUUGCUAUACUUUGCAUCAAUGAAAUUGCACGGUUGAAGAUUUUAUUUGUCUCCUAUAUGUACAAGAUCAAAGUGAAAAGCACGUCCCUGAUCCUAAUCGUGUUGCUUGAAAGUAAGUCCUACUGCUAUUAGUGUGGUAUAAUUCCAAGCAGUAUGUUCAGCAUCAAGGUGCAAAUUAUUGCAUGUUUGCUUGGAAAAAUAGUUGAAAAUGAAAUUACAGAUCUCAUUUGACUUUCAGUAUGGUAGCAGCUGUGUAAAACUGAGACUUUGUAAUUAGGCUUUUAUAGGCCAGGGAAGUACUGUAGUGAUAAAUAUGGCCUAGUUUUAAAAAUAUCUAAAAGAGAAAAUUCUCACUACUAUGCCAGGUAUGGCGAAAUGUUAUUCAUACCACACACACAAAAACACACACUAUUGGCGAAUGAAGGACUUCUUUCAGCUCUUUACCUAUAGUUAAAAUGACUAAGCUUUUCCUAUCUUUAGGCAAAUUUGAAAGAGAAGCUUGACCUUUGAGUUUACUUGCUUCCACAGAGAUUCAGAUGAUUAAAUAAGUAAGGCUAUUGGACUGUCAUUUACUUAUUUAUCUCAUGUCAUCCUUUCCAGUUCAACCUACUAUUUAAAUGUAGAAAAUCAGCAAAAUUUCUGCCACAGCAGGGCUGCCAUUACUAAGCUUACAAGCCCUCCUUUAUUCUCAUUCUCUUGAUUAGAACAUCAGGAGUCCAAUACAAUUGCCCCCCCCCCUUUGCAUAAUUACAUUUGCUACGCCUUUGGCAUAAAAGAUAUUCAUUCAUUAUGAACACUUUUUGAGCAUUUUUAAUGACACUCAAAUCUGUGUAAGGCUCCAGCAAAUAAAAAUUAGCAGAUGAAUAAUACAGAAAAGUAUAAAAAGGUUGGAUCCUAUCACUGGAGAUUUGUAACCACUUACAGUAUUUGAAUUGGGGAAAACAUGUUUGUAUAAUGUCUUGUGUAAUCAAGUUUUUGGACCUUAGAAAUUGGGUGAGUAAUCUGUGCAGCUUGUGUGUGUAAAUGUGGAUUAACAAUUGUAAAUUUAAGUUUACUAGCCCAAAGUUAGUGAGCUGGUAGCAUUUAUAUUCUUGUUCCCAAUCUGGGGCAAACAUGUGGUGGUUCUUUAAAAGUAUGUUUUGUAGUUUAUCAGUAGUUAGCUGAAUUCUUGGUUUAACCUUUUUAAAAUUGGUUCAAGUUAAAUAACGUUUUGCUCUAAGCAAGGAAUCCUUGGGUCUGUUCAAGAAUUAGAAGAAUUCCACAAGUAGGAAUUUUCUCCUUUUCUCAACCUCCUGAACUGUUCACAUCAACUAUAUCAGCAGCUUUAAUUAGCAUCCUUGAAUGACAUAGCAAAAGAGGUUAGUAAAUAGCAUUUUGUGUUGCCUGUUUGUGUAUGUUAGAAAAGUAGGGGGGUAGCACAUAAAUUGGCUCAUGAGGGCAUUCCACUUUUGGGGAAACAAUUUCUGGCACUUUGGAUAAUAUGACAAAUUCCUUUUUGCCAGAUGAGUCUCUUAGUCAGUUGGGUUGAUCAAAAGGACCUCACAUUCUCCACUUUAAAUAUUGAAAAUAACAGUCCAGGUUUAGAAAGCAUAGAUCAGGGUCAGCAACCUUUUUUCAGCCGUGGGCCGGUCCACCGUCCCUCAGACCAUGUGGUGGGCCGAACUAUAUUUUG
This 7399-nucleotide long non-coding RNA is filed under the name Podarcis lilfordi (Lilford's wall lizard). Lineage: Eukaryota; Metazoa; Chordata; Lepidosauria; Squamata; Lacertidae. The record is from RNAcentral.